This 483-nucleotide ribosomal RNA is filed under the name uncultured bacterium. Its description in RNAcentral is "partial 16S ribosomal RNA". It matches the Rfam family "Bacterial small subunit ribosomal RNA", at positions 30 to 507 of the family's 1533-position model. The record is from RNAcentral.
AUUGAACGCUGGCGGCAGGCCUAACACAUGCAAGUCGAGCGGAUGAAGGGAGCUUGCUCCUGGAUUCAGCGGCGGACGGGUGAGUAAUGCCUAGGAAUCUGCCUGGUAGUGGGGGAUAACGUCCGGAAACGGGCGCUAAUACCGCAUACGUCCUGAGGGAGAAAGUGGGGGAUCUUCGGACCUCACGCUAUCAGAUGAGCCUAGGUCGGAUUAGCUAGUUGGUGGGGUAAAGGCCUACCAAGGCGACGAUCCGUAACUGGUCUGAGAGGAUGAUCAGUCACACUGGAACUGAGACACGGUCCAGACUCCUACGGGAGGCAGCAGUGGGGAAUAUUGGACAAUGGGCGAAAGCCUGAUCCAGCCAUGCCGCGUGGGUGAAGAAGGUCUUCGGAUUGUAAAGCACUUUAAGUUGGGAGGAAGGCAGUAAGUUAAUACCUUGCUGUUUUGACGUUACCAACAGAAUAAGCACCGGCUAACUUCGUG